Molecule: ribosomal RNA, 254 nt
Filed under: uncultured bacterium
Lineage: Bacteria
Description: partial 16S ribosomal RNA
Rfam family: Bacterial small subunit ribosomal RNA
Source: RNAcentral
UACGUAGGGCGCAAGCGUUGUCCGGAAUCACUGGGCGUAAAGGGCGCGUAGGUGGCGAUCCAAGUCCAUGGUGAAAGCUCGAUGCUCAACAUCGAGUCGGCCACGGAUACUGGGUUGCUUGAGCACUGUAGGGGCAGAUGGAAUUCCGGGUGUAGCGGUGGAAUGCGUAGAGAUCCGGAAGAACACCGGUGGCGAAGGCGGUCUGCUGGGCAGUUGCUGACACUGAGGCGCGACAGCGUGGGGAGCAAACAGGG